Small nuclear RNA from Panthera pardus (leopard), 84 nucleotides. Its record names the gene U4. It matches the Rfam family "U4 spliceosomal RNA". Rfam says of the family: U4 small nuclear RNA (U4 snRNA) is a component of the major U2-dependent spliceosome. The structure of U4 snRNA from yeast and human has been reported. Lineage: Eukaryota; Metazoa; Chordata; Mammalia; Carnivora; Felidae. The record is from Ensembl.
AGCUUUGCGCAGUGGCAGUAUCGUAGCCAAUGAGGUUUAUCCAAGGCGCGGUUAUAGCUAAUUGAAAAAUGUCACGUAUUAGUA